UGAGUAUUAUCCAGCUUGCAACAAUGCCAGGCUUAGUCUCAGCAAAAAGCCCAGCCAAUGCAACGCCGUUACAAGAUUUACUCCGCCAAAGCGACAGUAAAACGCCAUCUCCGCUCCUAAAGCGAACGCCGCCACCCUCCUCCAACCUAAGAGCCAUACUCUCCAAAAAGACUCCAGAGAAGCUAACCGUCGAUGAAUCCUCUUUCGACAAUCCGGAUCUGGGUCCCUUUCUGUUAAAGCUCGCCAGAGAUACCAUUUCUUCCGGUGACAACCCGGAUAAGGCCUUGGAUUAUGCAUUUCGUGCAUCCAUGUCAUUUGAAAGGUGUUCGGGUUCGGGUCUGGAGCUGUCCAUGAGCCUACACGUGCUAGCAGCGAUUUAUUGCAGUUUGGGCCGGUUCGAGGAAGCGGUUCCGGUUCUAAAGCGUUCCAUUGAGGUUCCGAAUGUUGCUAACGGGUUGGACCAUGCGUUAACGAAGUUUGCCGGGUACAUGCAGCUUGGUGACACGUAUUCUAUGCUGGGACAGCUAGACAUAUCCAUCUCGUGUUACGAAUCGGGUUUGAAGAUACAGAUUGAGGCUCUCGGGGAUUUGGAUCCCAGAGUUGCAGAAACAUACAGGUAAUUUUUUUUUUUUUUAAUAAUUUGUUAAUAAUUUAGCCCUGUCCUUAUAACGUAGAUCCAUCUUCUCAAAAAUAGUAAACAUAUGCGCAUAAAUCAAUCUAUCACACAGCAGCAAUUAGAGUUGUAUUUAUAUAUCACUUUUUCAUUUUACAGAAAAUUAAAUAAAAUUCUACGAAGCAAGACUAUCCAAGAAGAGGAAGAACCAAGAGAAAAGAGAUUACCUCAGGAAUCACCGUCACCGGAGGCACACAGCAGCAAAUGAAUAAACGAAAUUGAAAGAGGACUUAUGAAUUCGAAAACGAAGAUCUAAAACGCACCGUUUCCCCAAAACGUGCCGUUUUUUUAGACAGUGGCAAAAUGGCAAUAUAAAAGAAAAUUAUGGACCGUGUAACAUGGUAUACGGACGUGGCUAGACGCAGCGACUGGACUGGAGCUGGUGUUGCUAAAGGACGAAGCAAACAGCGUGUUAUUGUGAAAAAAAGAAAAGGUAAAACAUGAGAAGAGUAUAAAGGAAGAGAGUUCAAAUAAAGAACAGAAGACCUCAUGAAAGCUUGAGACUGUGUGCAUUAAUGGAUUUUGUGUCUCUGUUUCUUCCGUUUUUCGUUCUCAAGCUUGUUAUUAAAUUAAAGUACCCUGAUUCCUUAAUAAUUAGAAGUCUCUUCCACGCCACCAUCAUUCGCCACUACUACCACCAUCAUCACCAUUGAUCGAAUCCUCUCUGUAACUUCUUUCUUCCCUAUAUUAUGCUACAAAUUGCUUCAAUUCCUUCCCCAGGCUUCAAUUUUGUUUUCUCUAGUUUUAGAUUUCCAUAAUUCUGUAACCAAAAUUUUCUUUUUGUUUGUAAUUUUAAUUAUAUCUGGUCCCUUCUUCACUGUCAAGUGUCAGAGAAACCCAUUUGAUUUUGCUACGUUUAUCUUGUAGUUGGCGAUUCUGAGCUCUGGAUUCUACAAAUAUAUAAAAUCUUGAAACUGUUGAGUUUUGAGUAUUAUCCAGCUUGCAACAAUGCCAGGCUUAGUCUCAGCAAAAAGCCCAGCCAAUGCAACGCCGUUACAAGAUUUACUCCGCCAAAGCGACAGUAAAACGCCAUCUCCGCUCCUAAAGCGAACGCCGCCACCCUCCUCCAACCUAAGAGCCAUACUCUCCAAAAAGACUCCAGAGAAGCUAACCGUCGAUGAAUCCUCUUUCGACAAUCCGGAUCUGGGUCCCUUUCUGUUAAAGCUCGCCAGAGAUACCAUUUCUUCCGGUGACAACCCGGAUAAGGCCUUGGAUUAUGC
Molecule: long non-coding RNA, 1893 nt
Filed under: Jatropha curcas
Lineage: Eukaryota; Viridiplantae; Streptophyta; Magnoliopsida; Malpighiales; Euphorbiaceae
Description: long non-coding RNA (JCUR_LNC002512)
Source: RNAcentral